GGGCCUGUAGCUCAAUUGGUAGAGCGCACCCUUCGCAUGGGUGAGGUAGCCGGUUCGACCCCGGCCAGGUCCA
This 73-nucleotide transfer RNA is filed under the name Patescibacteria group bacterium. Its description in RNAcentral is "tRNA-Ala". It matches the Rfam family "tRNA". Rfam says of the family: Transfer RNA (tRNA) molecules are approximately 80 nucleotides in length. The record is from RNAcentral.